This 496-nucleotide ribosomal RNA is filed under the name uncultured bacterium. RNAcentral's name for it is "partial 16S ribosomal RNA". It matches the Rfam family "Bacterial small subunit ribosomal RNA", at positions 29 to 507 of the family's 1533-position model. The record is from RNAcentral.
AUGAACGCUGGCGGCGUGCCUAAUACAUGCAAGUCGAGCGAACAGACGAGGAGCUUGCUCCUCUGACGUUAGCGGCGGAUGGGUGAGUAACACGUGGAUAACCUACCUAUAAGACUGGGAUAACUUCGGGAAACCGGAGCUAAUACCGGAUAAUAUAUUGAACCGCAUGGUUCAAUAGUGAAAGACGGUUUUGCUGUCACUUAUAGAUGGAUCCGCGCCGCAUUAGCUAGUUGGUAAGGUAACGGCUUACCAAGGCAACGAUGCGUAGCCGACCUGAGAGGGUGAUCGGCCACACUGGAACUGAGACACGGUCCAGACUCCUACGGGAGGCAGCAGUAGGGAAUCUUCCGCAAUGGGCGAAAGCCUGACGGAGCAACGCCGCGUGAGUGAUGAAGGUCUUCGGAUCGUAAAACUCUGUUAUUAGGGAAGAACAAAUGUGUAAGUAACUAUGCACGUCUUGACGGUACCUAAUCAGAAAGCCACGGCUAACUACGUG